AGUCCUUACUUAAUCAGCAUGUUUUACCAAAUCAAUGUAGUCAUAAGUUGACUUUAACAUUUCAUACAUUCAACAUAUAUAUUAGAUAGAUCAUGCUCUCUGCAAUAAAGAUUUAAAAUAAUUAAUCACCAAUUCACAUAGCAAAUAGGAACUGAAAGACUUGCCUGAUUCGUAGUUUAUGAACUACGACUUAACUACUUAACGCGUAUCUGCACUUCGUGUAUUCCUACACAGUUAUAUAAUCAUUGAUUCACAUCCAUUAGUUAUAUAUUUCAUACAUUCUUAAUAUAAUAGUAACGUUACAUUGUUUCCUAACUAGGUUUGUAAAACCUACCUUUCAAUUUCUCAUCAUGCUCUUAGAAUAGCUAAGUAUGUAUAGGUAUACCUUAACAACUCAUACUUACAUCAACAUUCAUAUAUAUCAUUCACACACUUGACUCGCUAUGUGUUCGACACAUAUUUAAAGUUCAUAGAUACACGAUCUACAUCGUUCUUACAUUUUACAAACUUUAAUAAAGUUUAACAACUUUGUGUUUUAUAUAACCAUUACAUGAUCUCAUGCUUAAACAUCAUCUAUGUUAAGUAUUA
Molecule: long non-coding RNA, 588 nt
Filed under: Panax ginseng (ginseng)
Lineage: Eukaryota; Viridiplantae; Streptophyta; Magnoliopsida; Apiales; Araliaceae
Description: long non-coding RNA (PGIN_LNC018292)
Source: RNAcentral